Molecule: non-coding RNA, 139 nt
Organism: Caenorhabditis elegans
Lineage: Eukaryota; Metazoa; Nematoda; Chromadorea; Rhabditida; Rhabditidae
Source: Ensembl
AGUGUGUCUUUUGGAAACAGUCUCUCUCUUCACGAUCAUUGUGUGUCUGCCCUCUCGAGUACGGACCUCGAGGGCCGAUUGCGCAGCGCGCAAAUUCCCGAAUAGAUCAUAUGAUUCGAAGAGUCGGCCGACGAUUUUC